RNAcentral lists this unclassified non-coding RNA (325 nucleotides) under Hevea brasiliensis (rubber tree). Lineage: Eukaryota; Viridiplantae; Streptophyta; Magnoliopsida; Malpighiales; Euphorbiaceae. The record is from RNAcentral.
AGAAUGGUGAGAAUUCCUGAGGCUUCACUUGGUUCAAGUGAUAAGAAAAUUCCCAGAGUAGGAUUUGGAACAGCUGAAUUCCCUUUUGGUGAAUCUGCAGAAGUGAUAACAGAAUCAAUUGUUCAUGCUAUGAAGGUGGGUUAUCGGCACUUCGAUACUGCGUCGGUUUACAAGUGUGAGAAGUUCCUUGGAGAUGGAAUAUCAGAAGCUCUUCGCCUUGGGUAUAUCAAUUCCAGGGACCAGCUCUUUAUCACCUCCAAGCUAUGGUGCAGAGAUGCCCAUCAUGAUCUUGUCGUCCCUGCCCUCAAGAAAACUCUUAUGAACU